CUACGAUAGUAGAGGGGCAUUAUGUUUUCUGGUCUGUGCUCCGUUCGUUCGUUCGUCGUUCGUCUGUGCGUCCGUUCAGGUUAAAGUUUUUGGUCAAGGUAGUUUUUGAUGAAGCUGAAGUCCAAUCAACUUGAAAAUUAGUACACUUGUUGCUUAUGAUAUGAUCUUUUUAAUUUUAAAGCCAAAUUAGACUUUUGACCCCAAUUUCACGGUCCACUGAACAUAGAAAAUAAAAGUGGGAGUUUCAGGUUAAAGUUUUUGGUCAAGGUAGUUUUUGAUGAAAUUGAAGUCCAAUCAACUUGAAACUUUACUACAUAUGUUCUCUAUAGUAUAAUCUUUCUAAUUUUAAUGCCAAAUUAGAUUAUUACCCAAUUUCACGGUCCAUGGAACAUGGAAAAGGAUAGUGUGAGUGGGGC
This 416-nucleotide long non-coding RNA is filed under the name Mytilus galloprovincialis (Mediterranean mussel). The record is from RNAcentral. Lineage: Eukaryota; Metazoa; Mollusca; Bivalvia; Mytilida; Mytilidae.